This 98-nucleotide transfer RNA is filed under the name Mogibacterium sp. Its description in RNAcentral is "tRNA-Sec". It matches the Rfam family "Selenocysteine transfer RNA". The record is from RNAcentral. Lineage: Bacteria; Bacillati; Bacillota; Clostridia; Peptostreptococcales; Anaerovoracaceae. RNAcentral also lists the same sequence under 1 other name.
GGGGGUAGAUAGGUGCUGGUGUGCCUCGCGGUCUUCAAAACCGUUUGCAGGGGGUUAGGAGCCUCCCGGGUGGGUUCGAUUCCCACAUACUCCCGCCA